AAAUUCAAGAAAUCAGGAACAAAUGAAACCAUUAGAAGAAAAGCAAGAGGAGGAAAGAUCAAAAGUGGAUGAUCUGAGGGGGACCCCGAUGUCAGUAGGAACCUUGGAAGAGAUCAUUGAUGACAAUCAUGCCAUCGUGUCUACAUCUGUGGGCUCAGAACACUACAUCAGCAUUCUUUCAUUUGUAGACAAGGAUCUGCUGGAACCUGGCUGCUCGGUCCUGCUCAAUCACAAGGUGCAUGCCGUGAUAGGGGUGCUGAUGGAUGACACGGAUCCCCUGGUCACAGUGAUGAAGGUGGAAAAGGCCCCCCAGGAGACCUAUGCGGAUAUUGGGGGGUUGGACAACCAAAUUCAGGAAAUUAAGGAAUCUGUGGAGCUUCCUCUCACCCAUCCUGAAUAUUAUGAAGAGAUGGGUAUAAAGCCUCCUAAGGGGGUCAUUCUCUAUGGUCCACCUGGCACAGGUAAAACCUUGUUAGCCAAAGCUGUAGCAAACCAAACCUCAGCCACUUUCUUGAGAGUGGUUGGCUCUGAACUUAUUCAGAAGUACCUAGGUGAUGGGCCCAAACUCGUACGGGAAUUGUUUCGAGUUGCUGAAGAACAUGCACCGUCCAUCGUGUUUAUUGAUGAAAUUGACGCCAUUGGGACAAAAAGAUAUGACUCCAAUUCUGGUGGGGAGAGAGAAAUUCAGCGAACAAUGUUGGAACUGCUGAACCAGUUGGAUGGAUUUGAUUCUAGGGGAGAUGUGAAAGUUAUCAUGGCCACAAACCGAAUAGAAACUUUGGAUCCAGCACUUAUCAGGCCAGGCCGCAUUGACAGGAAGAUUGAGUUCCCCCUGCCUGAUGAAAAGACGAAGAAGCGCAUCUUUCAGAUUCACACAAGCAGGAUGACGCUGGCUGAUGAUGUAACCCUGGAUGACUUGAUCAUGGCUAAAGAUGACCUCUCUGGUGCUGACAUCAAGGCAAUCUGUACAGAAGCUGGUCUGAUGGCCUUAAGAGAACGUAGAAUGAAAGUAACAAAUGAAGACUCAAAAUCUAAGAUGUUUUUUGAAAGGGAGCGACUGUCCAAGGGCCAGAAAUGUUAA
Molecule: non-coding RNA, 1081 nt
Organism: Macaca mulatta (Rhesus monkey)
Lineage: Eukaryota; Metazoa; Chordata; Mammalia; Primates; Cercopithecidae
Source: RefSeq, a predicted model, not a curated record